AGAGUUUGAUCCUGGCUCAGGAUGAACGCUAGCGGCAGGCCUAAUACAUGCAAGUCGAACGGCAGCACGGACUUCGGUUUGGUGGCGAGUGGCGCACGGGUGAGUAACGCGUAUGCAACCUACCCUUAACUGGGGGAUAGCCCGGAGAAAUUCGGAUUAAUACCCCAUAGUAUCACUAGAAGGCAUCUGAAGGUGAUUAAAGAUUUAUUGGUUAAGGAUGGGCAUGCGUGACAUUAGCUAGUUGGUGAGGUAACGGCUCACCAAGGCCACGAUGUCUAGGGGUUCUGAGAGGAUGAUCCCCCACACUGGUACUGAGAUACGGACCAGACUCCUACGGGAGGCAGCAGUAGGGAAUAUUGGUCAAUGGGCGAGAGCCUGAACCAGCCAUGCCGCGUGCAGGAAGACGGCCUUCUGGGUUGUAAACUGCUUUUAUCAGGGAACAAAAAGCCCAUGCGUGGGAAACUGAGUGUACCUGAAGAAUAAGCACCGGCUAACUCCGUGCCAGCAGCCGCGGUAAUACGGAGGGUGCAAGCGUUGUCCGGAUUUAUUGGGUUUAAAGGGUGCGUAGGCGGCUCUUUAAGUCAGUGGUGAAAUCCUACAGCUCAACUGUAGAACUGCCAUUGAUACUGGAGAGCUUGAGUACAGACGAGGUAGGCGGAAUUUAUGGUGUA
RNAcentral lists this ribosomal RNA (671 nucleotides) under uncultured bacterium. Its description in RNAcentral is "bacterial SSU rRNA". It matches the Rfam family "Bacterial small subunit ribosomal RNA", at positions 8 to 677 of the family's 1533-position model. The record is from RNAcentral.